UCGGCUUAGGAAUGUCUCGUCUCUCAUUAAUGCUAACCUCAACUUCUCUGUUUAUUAUGAUGGAUCGGAGAUUGGUAAUUACUAUCAAAGUCAAAACCUAUUAAGAGAACUUCUUGAAAGCCUUCGACACGUUAGAGAGGUUAAAAUAGGGAGUUGUUGCCUCCAGGUUCUGCCAAUAUUGGAGGUCAAAGGUGUGCUGUUUCAGUUGACAAGCUGCAAAAGCUUGGCACUGAACACUUACGUCAAUAGAUGGGACAGCCCAGCCAUAGCAAGCCUUCUACGAAGUUCACCAAAUUUAG
This is a non-coding RNA of Camellia sinensis, 299 nucleotides long. NCBI's taxonomy places the organism in Eukaryota, Viridiplantae, Streptophyta, Magnoliopsida, Ericales, Theaceae. The record is from RefSeq and is a predicted model, not a curated record.